UUGGGUAUUUCCAGUCAUAGCAUCUGUAGCAGUAGACUUUUCCAACAACUUUAACGAUCAAGGAAUGAUGAGGAGGAUAGUAAGGAGUUGGGGGUGGUGGUGAAGUGUAGUAGUAAGGUGGAGGAGGUGACUUAACUGGUGGUGGAGGGGAGGAGUAGUAGUAAGGUGGAGGAGGUGACUUAACUGGUGGGGGAGGGGAGGAGUAGUAGUAAGGAGGAGGAGGUGACUUAACUGGUGGUGGAGGGGAAGAGUAGUAGUACGGUGGUGGAGGUGACUUAACUGGUGGUGGAGGAGAGGAGUAGUAGUACGGUGGAGGAGGUGACUUAACUGGUGGUGGAGGGGAGGAGUAGUAGUACGGUGGAGGAGGUGACUUAGCAGGUGGUGGUGGGGACUUGUAAUAGUAAGGUGGUGGGGGAGAGGGUGAAGGGGGUGGUGGUGAUUUAUAGUAGUAUGGUGGAGGUGGUGAUGGAGAAGGUGGUGGGGGAGACUUGUAAUAAUAAGGUGGAGGUGGUGAAGGUGAAGGUGGUGGCGGGGAUUUGUAGUAAUAUGGUGGUGGAGGUGAUGGUGAAGGAGGUGGUGGUGAUUUAUAUACAUAUGGUGGUGGUGGAGAUGGUGAUGGAGGUGGUGGCGACUUGUACACAUACGGCGGUGGAGGAGAUGGUGAAGGAGGAGGUGGCGACUUGUAAACGUAUGGAGGUGGUGGAGAUGGUGAAGGAGGUGGCGGUGAUUUAUACACAUAGGGUGGUGGUGGAGAUGGUGACGGUGGUGGUGGAGACUUGUACUCAUAAGGCGGUGGCGGAGAAGGAGAAGGAGGGGGUGGUGACUUGUAUUCGUAAGUUGGUGGUGGGGGAGAAGCAUAUACAUAAGGGUCAGCAGAAACAAUAUUAGCAACAGCCAAAAUGGCCAAUGCCACUAAGAUUUGUGGCACAUGACGACCCCGGCGGGGGUCGCCACCGUUAAGCCUCAUUGCUAGUCGGAAAAUUGCGACACCAACUCCUCUAAUGUGGCAAUGCAAAUCUGCACACUGUCGGAAGUGUGAGAAAAGAGAAAGAGAAGAAGCUUUAGUUGAGAGGUAAUGACUUAAGAGGAAGCAAUGGCCUAAGUAUUUAUAGUAACACUUAGUGAGACUGUGAGAGGCAGUCGUUGGUAUGGAGCUGUCAAUUGGCACCAAUUUAGUUUGUCCGAUUGAGAAUCAAGACUUUUCAAAUUAUGAACUCUAUACAGCUGGACUUCUCAAAAAAAUUUUAAGUUCCAUUACUUCAUCACUCUGCAUUUUCCAUUGUUUUUUUUUUCUCUAACAAGUGGUUACCUGCUACAUAGAUUUACAAAAAGAACAUAACAUUAUGCAGAGACGCAUGCUAUAAUUGUGUAAGGGAAAUAAGGAGUGUUUUUAAUUUUUUACAUUUUCACUCUUCGUUUCGUUUUCAAUAUUUUUGUUGCCUCUGAACCUUAAUGAAAAGUGGGAUCAUAGAAUUUGGUCUUUUAUUGUUGUCUUCCAUGGUUCUGUUUUCCUAGCCGCCGGGGUGGGGAUGGGGUGGGGGUGUGGGGUCCUAGGAAAUUAGGGUAGGUGGAGUUGCCUUUAAUUUGAGGUGCCCCUGUUUUACCACUAACCAAAUUAAUCAAAGCCAAUAGAUGUGUAAGCUUCACAAUUUGAGGAAAACUAUUUAUAUGGAGUAUGUAUUAUUGUUGAUUUAUGUUUUCUUACUGAUUCAUGUGAGCAUUUUAUCCACCAGAUACUUCACGAGCAAGUUAAAUUCUCUCAUCAAUAAGCCAAUGCACAAGAAUCUUAUCUUCUCCUUCUAUAUAUGCACGUGCGACCACAAAUAGUUACAAAAGUAAAGUUAAACACCACUUUAAUUAACUUUUAUUUAAUCUUAGCUUAUGGUAAAUAUUAAACAAAUUAAACAUUGAAGCUGGGGGUCUUCAUUAUCGCACUUCCCUGGAAGAACAACUUACUCUUACUUGAUAUUUACAUUAAACCAUUAAAUACAAGUGUCUUUCACAUAAAUAUUUAUUGCUUAAUCAAAGUUAACGGAUACAUAUUUUAUAUUAUUAACUUGUAACUGUGAAGGUUAAAUUGCUUAUUUUGAUGAAAUAUUGAGCACCAAUAUAAGUAUUUCCUUGAAAAAAACACCGAGGGUGUGAUUAGUUGGUGGCAUUGUCUUUUUUCAAACUUGAUAGCUUCAAGAAAAAGUAACCCUUAACUAUGGAAGAUGCAUAGUUCGAAUUACAUUAUGUUUGUUAAGUGUCGAUGGCUAUAGAAAAAUUUUAUCUUUGCCAACUGGAAAACUGGAAAUAGUCCUCAAGAAACUUUGAAGGGGACAUUUUGUUUGACAUUAAAACGUCUCAAGAAAUCCAUAUGGAACUCUCUCAGCGUUUUCCUAGAUAUAUGAAUAAUAAAUAAAUACAUACAUAAAUAAAUAUUACUAAAAGUUUAGUUUUUUAUGUUUUCUUCAUUAUCAAUUGGAGAAGCAUUUUGUUUACUUAAAACAUUACUGAUAAAAUAUUCGUGUAUAUUUCUGUUAUAUAUUAUAUGGAAGAAAUUGAAAAAUAAGCUAUGCAAUGAGACUUGGUAGGCACUACUAAUUCAAAGAUUUCAAUACGCGUUUAUUAUGUAAUCCGAUUGUUCUUUUUCAUGUUUAUUAUAAUUGGUUUUAGUGUCAUUGGUGCAUACAUAAAGAAGUUGUGUUGAAUUGUUUUUUACAUUUUUUGUAUAGUAUCAGAAGAGAAUGACUUGGUAUAACCUACUACUAAUUCAAAAUUUACAAGCCGACAUAACAAUUUAAAUAAUUUACUAACUAAUUAGUUGACUUUACUUUGCUUCUAUUCCGUUACGCCACUUUUUUUUUUCCAAAUUUUUUAAGUGAUCUGUAAACCGCUGAGACUUUACUUUCAGAAAUCCCUUUCUAUUCCUCCAUUUUCUAGUUCCACGUCUAAAUAUCCUAGUUUUGUUUAUCAAGUAUCAAUUUUAAUAAAAAUUAUAGAUUCAAAAAGUUAUAAAAAAUUAAUUAAUGUGAAGAAUAUAUCUAAUACUAUAUAGUAUAUACACUGAUACACACUAUGAAAGUACCAAAAAAAUAUCUUCAUUUAAAACUUUAAUCCGAUACAUCUCUGUGUUUUUGAAACAGGAAAGACAUAAUCCUUAGAAAACAGAUAUAAUGCAUUUAGUUAUGCGUUUGGACAAAAACAUGUGAUUUUUGAAAAAAAAAAUAGUUUUUGGAGUUAAGUUAAGAAAAUGUAUUUAGAAUUUAAAAUUAUUUUGGAUAUAUUUCACUUGAAAAAAUAUUACAAUGUGAGGAGAAACCAAAUUUUACAUGAGAAAUGGUAAAACUCACUUUUUCAAAUUUGAAACUCAUCUUCAAAAAUUCAGUUAAACAUUUAACCAAACAUGAUUUGAAAAUAUUUUUCGAAAAAAGGAUAAAUAUUAUAUCCAAAUGGCUCCUUAAUUAUUCCUUGAUGCCCUUGUAAAACUAUAACUACAGAAAAGCGGUAUGUACAAAAUUAUAUCCGUAUGCUCCUUAAUUUUAAUUAUUUCUUGACGUCCUUGCGGUAAAAUUACGAAAUCUUUAAAUAAUGAAGUUGAUGUGAUGCCUUUUGUUAGCCUUCAAAUCAGAUUGAUUUAUUUGAGUUGUAAUUUGGGAGAAGUUGACUCAAUCCUCACCCUUUGAUUUAGAUUUUCACCCUUUAAUUUUUAUGCAUACGUAUUUUUUAUAUGCAUAUGUAUUUUUUUUACAUUGUAUAGUUUGAGUAGAAAGUAAUAAGUUCAGUUAAAUCUACAAAAAAACGCUUCUAUUUUUACCCAAUUCAAUUAUUUUAUUAAAUCAAUUUCAUCAAUCCGAUUCAUAUAAAAACUAAUUUUUAAAUCUUAUUAAAUUAAAUAGGGUGCAUCUUCCAGGAAAUGGAUUCCCCAAAUGUUCUAUGCCUUUGUGAUCCACUACUACACCACUUUUGGAAGACUUGUUAUGGUUUUUCGUUUCUUAUAUUUUUCAAUGUAGUCUUAAUUUUUGAACUGCAUGUGAUUUCUCAAUUAUGCUAUCAACUGCAUGUGGAGGCAAUUGAUUUUUUUUUAUUUUUUUUGAGUGUCGAACAGCAAAGAAACACGUAAUACGUAACAAGAUAAAAAGAGGAAAUGAAAAGGGUUUUUCUACCUUUUUCUUGUUCGUUUUCUAUAAUAACUACUGUACUAGUUUCUUAAAAUCCAAAAAAAGUCCCCACACAUUGUGAGAAUUAUUCAUAGAAUGCUUACAAGCAAUCCUUCAAUACGGGAAGAUGGAGUUUCUUAUUUUGUUUUGAUAAUAUUUUCUAUUUUUUGAAAGGAUAAUAAUUGUAAAAAAAAAAAUAUUCUAAUACAUUGUUUAUGAAAAACGUAACUUUAAAUUCAAAAAUUUUCUCGUGCAUUGAUAACGAGUAAUGAAUAAGAAAGUUUAAAAAAUUCAUUGGAAUAAGAAAGUUUUAAAAAAAAAAUCAUGCGUUAAUGAUAGGGCCAUGAGCUCUGAAGACACACGUUAAGCAGGGAGAGCUAACGUACGCACAAAGACGAUGGCCCGACAGAAAUCACAGAUAAUUGUGCCGCCUACAAUACCGGAGACGGACGAAGGAGGUAGAAUGGUAACACCAGAAUCAGGAAUACCACAAAUGAUAGGUCAGAUGCAACUGGUCCACUGGAUGACUGGGAUGGAAAGCGCACCAACAAUCAUGCAAGCUUCGAAAUGUGUUGAAGAAGAGAAUCCCAAACCAGCAGAGGUAGAUGUCAAUACUGCAGCGAGGAAGCUGACUUUCUUAGUGCAACGAGCAAACCCUAGUCGACCAGAACCGAUUCUAGCUGAUGUGGUUAAAGGAAAUCGAGCUCAACAACAGGGGCUGAAAUUGGAAUACUAUCCACCAACAAUGAAGGAAGGAGUAAAGAUUGUGCGAUUGAAUCAGACUCAAGUAGUAGAGCAAACUCAGAAAUGGAAAGAAGCGCUAAUUGGGUAUGCGUUGGGUGGAACUUCCUCUUUCAAAGAAAUGCUAAAAUUUGUGUAUGGGGUGUGAAAUUUUAUCACUGCACCACAUGUAUUCCUACAUGAUGAUGGGUACUUUAUAUUCAGAUUUAGAUCUGAAGAUGAUAAGAUAAAAACUUAUACAAUAAGGCCCAUAUACAUACCAUAAUAGACCCAUGAUACUGAAGCACUAGGAGCCUAAUUUCCAGAUGAGUAAAGAGUUGACUCAAAAUGUACCAAUAUGGGUCAUAUUCCCGGGAUUACCAAUUUAAUACUGGAUAAAGGAGAGUUUGGGGCGCAUAGCCAGCUACUUAGGAAAACCUAUAUGUUCAGAUAAACUCACAGCAGAGGGGGAUAAGAUUUCCUAUGCGCGUAUGCUGGUGGAAAUGGAUGUAUCACAGGAUCUACCAGAUACAAUGCUCAUUGAAGAAAAAGAUGGCAAGUAUAGAGAACAAGCACUGGACUAUGAAUGAAAACCUUCUUUCUGUGAGGAGUAUUUUCAAAUAGGGCACCAUAAUGAGAAAUGUGGGAAGGCUUUACCAAUGAGGUAGCAAAAGCAAACCAAUGCCAGCAAUGGCAACCUGGAGAAAACUGGUAAACAACAACAGAGGCAAUGGAAAGAGGUUAAGCAACAGAACAUAAAACAAUGGAGGGUGAAACCUGUUGUUGAGCAACCAUAAGUGCAGAAAAGCAGAUUCCUGAACAACUACAAGAACAACAGGUCAGUCAAGUUAAUGCAGAGCCAACUACUGAGCAAGAGAUGGAAAUACAACAAGUUCAGAAAUCUAGAGGCAGGCAAAAGAUAAAAGCUCAAGGACCUACAUAACAUAAGGGAGCCUUAACUGAUACUGAUUUAGAUAAUAUGCUGAAGAGAAAUAGAUAUAGUCCAUUGAGAAUACAAGAUGAUAGCAGCACUGGAAAGGUAACUUAAGGGAUUGGCCUCAAUGAGGAGAAUCCGACAUGAUAAUAAGCUCUUGGAAUAUAAAAGGAAUGAACAAGCCCUAUAAUCAUAAAGAACUCAAGGCCUUUCUGCUAAAACAUAAAAUAACUUUACUAGGCUGCCUUGAGACAAAAAUAAAGUCUAGAAGUAUUAGUAAAGUUAAAAGAAAAUUUUGCAAAAAUUGGAAAGUGCAUUCAGAUGAAGCUAUAAGUAACAAUGGGAGAAUCUGGAUCUUUUGGAAGGCAAAUUUGGUGCAGGUACAUAUACUGUUAGCAACUCUUCAAUUGCUACACUGCCAAGUGAAGGAUAAGGGAUCAACAUUCUCAUGUUGCAUAACAUUUGUAUAUGGAAAGAAUAAAAUUGUUACACCAUGUACGUCCGAAGUUGACGUAUAAUGAAUAUGAGACUUGUUAAUAAUGAUUUAAAUGAGUUUAAAGUCAUAAUAUGACUAUAUAUGAUGGUUGGACAAAACACAUAAAGUUUGGAGAAAAUCGGAUUAAAGUUGCGGAAAAACCGACUAAGAAUUUACCAUAUAAUAGAGCUUUUUGAGAAAUAUAUUCCGUAUAAUAUAUGAGGUCUUUUGGGAUAUAUUAUAUACCAAAUUGAAGGUCUUGGAAUGUAGUUUUCAAAGCUCUUAACCGUUCAUUCAUACAAUAUCCGGAUAAAAAGAUAUAAGCGUUGGAAAAUGGGUGAAUGAGAGGGUGCCAAGCUAGCACCUUUUGACUUUUCAAAAGUUUGAUAAAUAUGUUUUAACUCGUCUCUCUCUCUCUUCAUUUUACAUAGAAUCUAACCAGAGACACCAUAAAAGAACGGUCCUUGAGCUCUCUAAUAGUUUCGAAUAAUAAUAAUAUCCCGGGUACGAAAUCGAGAAGUGAUAACAUUAGAACGAUCCCUACGACGUAAGUAUCACUAUAUCACCUCUUUUUUUAUUUGUAGUUUGAGUUUUGGAAUGUAUUUAAUAGUUAAUAAAAAUUUAUAAUUUCUGUAUUUAAGCUUUAAAAUAUCAAAAAAAGUUGAUAAAUUCGUUUCCUAAUAGUUAGAUCUCACGUGACGGUGAUCGAAAACCGUGAGUUUGAGUUAUUUGAUUUGUAGUAGACUGUUUUGUUGGCUGUUUUGUGUUGCUUUUGGGCUGUCUAUUGUGCUACUAAUUUAUGGAGUAUGGAAGGAUAAAAAUGGCGUGGAGAAAUGCCACAUAUGGUAGGGUAGUAGGCUGGUCGCUCGUCGUUGUAGUUGCAGGCUAAUUGAUAAUUUGUUGAUUGGUGUAUUAUGGUAUAUUUGGGGGUUUUGUUGUAUUGAAGGUCCCGGAUUGUAAUUAGGUUGGUUUUAAGUUGAUGAUUGUAAUGUGUUUGUAUCUCGCCUAUAGUAGGCUUGAGGGAGCAGUAAAAUCAGGGGAAAUGCUGCCCGUUUUAUUUUAGAAUCGAGUUAUCGUUUGAGAUACGUAAUAUACUACCGCCAUCUAAAUUAUACACGUAUUUAUUUGCUAUAUGAUUGGAUCUCUAGUUGUCAUAAGCUUGUUGUUGAGUUGCAUUGACGACUUGAGGUAUGUUAAGGCUAUUCCUUCUUUCUUUUUGGCAUGAUACAAACGAAACGAGCAAAAUACGCAACUUUCAAAAAUGACUCUAUUCAUAGAAAUACUAGGGGUGUCUAUAUUCUUGAUUUCCCAUGUGAAUUAUUAUUAUAUCCUCUGUUCAUAGGUCCCAGAAAAAUAUGUAUUUGAUAAAGUUUGUCCGAAAGGAAUAUAAAUUUUAUGAUAUUCGAGAAAUCUUAUUAACGUAUUUCAUAUGCAUUUCAUGCAUUUAUACAUGUAUAUGGACCCAUGACCAGAAGGCGUUAUAUACGCGUAUAUUAUAUGUAUAUGGAUAUGGAAAAAGGUUAAGGCGUUAUAUACGCACCACCACCUGAUCAGUUGGUAUAUGUUGAUGAUUUUGCCCACAGUGGCCGAGAUGAUACGAUGGGAUGCCCUCAGAAGCUUGAUGAUGUUAUGUACACCUAUACCUAUGCAUGAUACAACAUUUACACGCAUGUGCAUGAUAUUAUAAAUGUUUCAGGAUUCAUAAAGUUAUUUAGACUCACAGGUGGAAUUCUUUACCCCAUAUUUCAUCUAUGUCUUUUAUGUACUGAUUUUCAUGCUUUACAUACACAGUACAUUAUUCAUACCGACGUCCCUUUUUGCCUGGGGACACUGCGUUUCAUGCCCGCAGGUAUAGGUAGACAGGCUGACGGUCCCCCUUCUUAGGAUCCUUGAUCAGCGAGAGUUGGUGUGUUCUAUUUGAUCCGGAGCUGCUUUGAGUUUUGGUACGGUGUGUUUACAUAUAUAUAUGGGUACGACGGGGCCCAAUCUCUUCCUUUAUACAGUUGUACACUCUAUUAGAGGUCUGUAGAUAGUCAUGUAUAGUUUAUAGUAUGUGGCCUUGUCGGCUCACCCUACAGUAUAUAUAUGUAUGUAUGUAUAUAUGUCUUUUGAGCAUGUUUUCCCACGUAGGUUGUUCAUAUGAAUUAAUAGUUUAUUUCCAGACGUUAUGCAUGACCUACACUUAUUUCAUGUUUAUAUCUUAGACGAAUGCUUAUGGGUGUUCGAUAGGUAGAACUCGAGCACUCGUCACGGCCUAUCGGUUUGGGUCGUGACAAAAGUGGUAUCAAAGUAAUUCUGUCCUAGAGUUGUCUACAGACCGUGUCUAGUAGAGUCUUAUUUAUGGGUUUGUUGUGCACCACAAUUAUAGACAGAAGGCUACAAGAUAUUUAGGAUGGUUACUCUUCUUUCUUAUCUUAGAUCGUGCGAUAUAAUAAUUCAUUUUCCUAACGACAUGUUAUGUUUUUAGCAAUGCCCAAGAAGGCUACAGCCGCCUAGAAGGGCAAGUCCGUGGAUGAUGAAACUACAAGUAGAGCACCACGAGUUACCAGAUCUCGGGGAGAAUCGCAUAGUGAGACUCCAUCUCAGACUUCACAUACCCCUCCCUUUCCAGAGGAGAUCCGAGGGGCACCAGCUCCAGCACUUGCUCCAGUACACCCAGCUCCUCAUCCAGAUGCACCGGGUCAGGAGAUAAGAGAUGUUAUUCAGUUAUUGACUCGGUUAGUGGCCGCACAAGCUCGGCGUCAGGAGGUUGGUAUUGGUCAUGCAGAUAGGGCCAUUAGUGCGAGGGUUCAUGAUUUCAUUAAUUUGGACCCUCCGAUAUUCACUGGAGCAGAUCCAAAUGAGGACCCUCAGGUAUUUAUCGAUAGUAUGCAGAGGACUUUGAGAGUAAUGAAGGCCACUGCGACUAAGCCGGUUGAGCUAGCUUCCUAUAGACUUCGGGAUAUUGCAAUUAAUUGGUACGAGUCUUGGGAAUUGUCCAGAGGUGAGGAUGCCCUUCCAGCAGUAUGGCAGGAUUUUACAAAGGCUUUUCUUCAUCAUUAUUUGCCACCAGAGCUUAAACGGGCCAGAGUUGAUAGGUUCUUGACCCUUCGACAGGGUAAUAUGAGUGUUCGGGAGUACAACCUUCAGUUUGAUUCUUUGGCGAGGUAUGCUCCCAUUAUUGUAGCUAAGAUGGAGAAUCGGGUUCACCGGCUCGUGAUGGGGUUGGAGCCGCACCUGCUCAAUGACUGUAUGUCGGUCUCACUUCAUCCAGACAUUGAUAUUUCUCGUAUUCAGGCAUACGCUCAGGAUGUAGAGGAGUGUAAGCAGAAGCAGGGGGCCGAUCGUGAGCAUGAUAGGGGCUAUAGUAAGAGAGUGAGAUCUUCAGAUCCUUCUGGUGAGUUUCGAGGUGGUCAGAGAUGGCAGUAUCCGAGGUAUCCAGCUCAGCCAUUAUCUAGUGUACCCCCCAGUUUUCUGGUAGGAGAUUUGAUCGUUCCACAUAUUCAAGGCACAGUCAGAGUUCCAGGGCCUCUCGUUCUCAGUAUAGGGGUGGGUCAAGUCAGGUGAGGCCACCUUUGCCACGAUGUGCUCAGUGUGGUAAGCAUCAUGUCGGGUAGUGUCUCGUGGGGUUGGGUGUUUGUUAUACGUGUGGUUAUCCAAGACACGUUAUGAGAGAUUAUCCGACGAGAGGUGGUGCAGGUAUAAUUCAGUCAGCGGGAUCUAUAGCUGGUUCGUCAUCAUCAGUACGCCCCCCUCGGCAAGGAUCACAGGCACCGGUCGGUUGUGGUAGAGGCAGAAGUGGAGCAUCUAGCUUGAGCGGUCCUCAGAACUGCAUUUAUGCAUUAGCGGGUCGACAGGAUUAGGAGUCGUCACCUAAUGUUGUUGCAGGUAUAUUAUCAGUCUCUUCAUAUGAUGUAUAGGCAUUGAUUGAUCCAGGUUCCACCUUAUCGUAUGUCACUCUAUUGGUUGCUAGCAAGUUUGGGAUGGAACCUGAGUUGAUUAAACCUUUUGAGGUGUCUACACCUGUUGGGGAUCCAGUGAUAGCUAGACGGGUAUAUAGAGAUUGUAUAGUAGGAGUUCUUAGUUGUUCUACAGUAGCGGACCUGAUUGAGCUAGAUAUGGUAGAAUUUGAUGUUAUAAUGGGUAUGGAUUGGUUGGCUUCUUGUUAUGCUAACGUUGAUUGUAGAUCAAAGAUGGUUUGGUUCCAGUUUCCAGGGGAGCCAGUUCUAGAGUGGAAAGGUAAUACUGCAUUGCCGAGAGGUAGGUUUAUUUCCUACCUCAAGGCAAGGAAGAUGAUCAGAAAGGGUUAUAUUUAUCACUUAGUUCGGGUACAUGAUGUGAAAGCAGAGUCACCGACCCUUCAAUCUAUUCCAAUGGUUAAUGAGUUUCCCGAUGUUUUUCCUGAUGAGCUUCCAAGCCUUCCGCCAGAGUGGGAGAUUGAGUUUGCUAUUGACACAUUACCAGAUACUCAGCCGAUAUCCAUUCCUCCUUAUAGAAUGGCACCUGCAGAGCUGAGAGAGUUGAAAGAACAACUGAGGGAUUUGCUUGAAAAAGGCUUUAUCAGACACAGUACAUCACCAUGGGGAGCACCUGUGUUAUUUGUGAGAAAGAAAAGUGGUACCUUGCGGAUGUGUAUUGAUUACAAACAGUUGAAUAAGGCGACAAUCAAGAAUAAGUACCCACUCCCGAGGAUUGAUGAUUUAUUUGAUCAGUUGCAGGGUGCCAGGUGUUUCUCAAAGAUAGACUUGAGGUCGGGGUACCAUCAGGUAAGGGUUAGAGAAAAUUCCGAAGAGAGCAUUCAGGACCAGAUACAGACACUUUGGGUUUCGUGUUAUGUCAUUCGGUUUGACUAAUGCCCCAGCGGUAUUCAUGGACUUGAUGAACCGUGUGUUCAGACCUUUUCUAGAUCUGUUCGUGAUUGUAUUUAUAGAUGAUAUUUUGGUUUAUUCUCAUUCAGAGGUUGAGCAUGCAGAUCAUUUGCGUACUGUGCUCAGAGAUCUACAAGAAAGGAAGUUGUAUGUAAAAUUCUCUAAAUGUGAAUUCUGGUUGAAUUCUGUAGCCUUCCUUGGUUAUAUUAUUUCGGGUCAGGGUAUCCGGGUCGAUACACAGAAGAUCGAGGCAGUGAAGACUUGGCCUAGACCCACGACACCGACAUAGGUUCGUAGCUUCCUGGGUUUGGCAGGUUAUUACAGGAGAUUUGUAGAGGGGUUUUCUUUCCUUUCAGCACCAUUGACAAAGUUGACUCAGAAGGCAACCAAGUUUCAGUGGACUGAUGCUUGUGAGCGGAGUUUCCAAGCAUUGAAGGACAGAUUGACUUCAGCACCGGUUCUGACACUUCCAGAAGGGACCGAUGGUUAUGCUAUCUAUUGUGAAGCUUCGGGCAUUGAAUUGGGUUGUGUAUUGAUGCAGCAUGGUAAGGUUAUCACUUAUGCUUCUAGACAACUAAGAAACCACGAGAAAAAUUACCCCACCCACGAUUUAGAGUUAGCCGUGGUG
Molecule: long non-coding RNA, 11746 nt
Filed under: Nicotiana tabacum (common tobacco)
Lineage: Eukaryota; Viridiplantae; Streptophyta; Magnoliopsida; Solanales; Solanaceae
Description: long non-coding RNA (NTAB_LNC000945)
Source: RNAcentral